AUUGAACGCUGGCGGCAGGCCUAACACAUGCAAGUCGAGCGGUAGAGAGGUGCUUGCAUCUCUUGAGAGCGGCGGACGGGUGAGUAAUGCCUAGGAAUCUGCCUAGUGGUGGGGGAUAACGUUCGGAAACGGACGCUAAUACCGCAUACGUCCUACGGGAGAAAGCGGGGGAUCUUCGGACCUCGCGCCAUUAGAUGAGCCUAGGUCGGAUUAGCUAGUUGGUGAGGUAAUGGCUCACCAAGGCGACGAUCCGUAACUGGUCUGAGAGGAUGAUCAGUCACACUGGAACUGAGACACGGUCCAGACUCCUACGGGAGGCAGCAGUGGGGAAUAUUGGACAAUGGGCGAAAGACCUGAUCCAGCCAUGCCGCGCGUGUGAAGAAGGUCUUCGGAUUGUAAAGNACUUUAAGUUGGGAGGAAGGGUAGUAA
This 429-nucleotide ribosomal RNA is filed under the name uncultured bacterium. RNAcentral's name for it is "bacterial SSU rRNA". It matches the Rfam family "Bacterial small subunit ribosomal RNA", at positions 30 to 458 of the family's 1533-position model. The record is from RNAcentral.